GAAAGCCACAGUAGGUCCCUCCAGCAAUCUAACUUAGAGGCAGAAAGACAAGAUGGGGCAGCAGGGGUUACACAACAUCUUUCCUGAAGAGACAUGAGUAGAUGUAGGUUCCCCCAGAGAGGUGCCUUCAGACCAAAGGAACACUCCACCUCAGUCCAGUACAGUCAGCCACCAGAUUCAGCCUGCAGGUCCGCAGCGCCUUGACCAGUCUGGCCACCGAGGCGUUCUUCUUCUCGGCAUUCUUCCAGACUUUCAGACUCUCCCUUAUCCGCUCACUCAGACUUCGGGGGUACUUCUCCUCAAUCCCAUCAAUCUUGGCCUCAGACACCUUCAGCUCUCGGGCCAGUGCUUUCCAGUCUCUCCCCACAUUGUCACACACAAUGUCAAAUGCCACCUGCAGAUCUAGGAGGGAAAAGAGCAGUGUGACUUGACUGAGGAGCUGGGGCAAGUCUCCCCACCGGCCACCAAGCAUGGGCCUGAACACUUCGAAGGCAACAUCACUUCAAAGCCACUCAGGUCCUGUACUGACACUAAGUAGCACAGGAGCUACUUCAAGAUACCCACAGUGGCCUGAUCUGCCCAGCCACAUUCUCUCAGCCUAGGCCACAGGGAGCUAUGGCUUAGAAGACUGCCAACUGAGGACUGGAGUGUCAGAGGGAAAAAGCAGGGCUGCCCUAACACCCCGCUCAAUAGUGGGUUGGCCAAAGUCCCCAAAGCUACAUCCUACACUGUGACCUUUGCUGGCUUGACCAGACACCACAAAAGGUCUGUCUCUGUGCUACUCUGGAGCCCCUGCUUAGACACAGGCAAGGUGUAAUCUCUGUAGGGAGCCCUGGGCAGUGACUGAAGACCCCUUACUGGAUUCCUGUAAUAAUAACAAACAUUGGAUGCCUUGGAGAUGUGAAUACACAAUCCAUUUUCGUGUGGAUCUUGCACACACCGGCAGUGGAAAGCUUUACUCCAUAGGCCCUCCAGCUGCUUUGAUUUUCUGCGUCACUGUAGACAAGAGCAACGGUGACAACCAACCAGGAACUAAAUAAACCUUUGCCCCUUU
This 1054-nucleotide long non-coding RNA is filed under the name Mus caroli (Ryukyu mouse). RNAcentral's name for it is "Fas associated via death domain, opposite strand (MGP_CAROLIEiJ_G0004098.1)". The record is from RNAcentral. Lineage: Eukaryota; Metazoa; Chordata; Mammalia; Rodentia; Muridae.